This 1675-nucleotide ribosomal RNA is filed under the name Klebsiella pneumoniae. RNAcentral's name for it is "partial 23S ribosomal RNA". It matches the Rfam family "Bacterial large subunit ribosomal RNA", at positions 1271 to 2925 of the family's 2925-position model. Lineage: Bacteria; Pseudomonadati; Pseudomonadota; Gammaproteobacteria; Enterobacterales; Enterobacteriaceae. The record is from RNAcentral.
UGCUGGAGGUAUCAGAAGUGCGAAUGCUGACAUAAGUAACGAUAAAGCGGGUGAAAAGCCCGCUCGCCGGAAGACCAAGGGUUCCUGUCCAACGUUAAUCGGGGCAGGGUGAGUCGACCCCUAAGGCGAGGCCGAAAGGCGUAGUCGAUGGGAAACAGGUUAAUAUUCCUGUACUUGGUGUUACUGCGAAGGGGGGACGGAGAAGGCUAUGUUAGCCGGGCGACGGUUGUCCCGGUUUAAGCAUGUAGGCUGGUUGUCCAGGCAAAUCCGGAUAAUCAAGGCUGAGGUGUGAUGACGAGGCACUACGGUGCUGAAGUAACAAAUGCCCUGCUUCCAGGAAAAGCCUCUAAGCAUCAGGUAACAUCAAAUCGUACCCCAAACCGACACAGGUGGUCAGGUAGAGAAUACCAAGGCGCUUGAGAGAACUCGGGUGAAGGAACUAGGCAAAAUGGUGCCGUAACUUCGGGAGAAGGCACGCUGGUGUGUAGGUGAAGUCCCUGCGGAUGGAGCUGAGACCAGUCGAAGAUACCAGCUGGCUGCAACUGUUUAUUAAAAACACAGCACUGUGCAAACACGAAAGUGGACGUAUACGGUGUGACGCCUGCCCGGUGCCGGAAGGUUAAUUGAUGGGGUUAUCCGUAAGGAGAAGCUCUUGAUCGAAGCCCCGGUAAACGGCGGCCGUAACUAUAACGGUCCUAAGGUAGCGAAAUUCCUUGUCGGGUAAGUUCCGACCUGCACGAAUGGCGUAAUGAUGGCCAGGCUGUCUCCACCCGAGACUCAGUGAAAUUGAACUCGCUGUGAAGAUGCAGUGUACCCGCGGCAAGACGGAAAGACCCCGUGAACCUUUACUAUAGCUUGACACUGAACAUUGAGCCUUGAUGUGUAGGAUAGGUGGGAGGCUUUGAAGCGUGGACGCCAGUCUGCGUGGAGCCAACCUUGAAAUACCACCCUUUAAUGUUUGAUGUUCUAACGUUGGCCCCUGACCGGGGUUGCGGACAGUGUCUGGUGGGUAGUUUGACUGGGGCGGUCUCCUCCCAAAGCGUAACGGAGGAGCACGAAGGUUAGCUAAUCCUGGUCGGACAUCAGGAGGUUAGUGCAAUGGCAUAAGCUAGCUUGACUGCGAGCGUGACGGCGCGAGCAGGUGCGAAAGCAGGUCAUAGUGAUCCGGUGGUUCUGAAUGGAAGGGCCAUCGCUCAACGGAUAAAAGGUACUCCGGGGAUAACAGGCUGAUACCGCCCAAGAGUUCAUAUCGACGGCGGUGUUUGGCACCUCGAUGUCGGCUCAUCACAUCCUGGGGCUGAAGUAGGUCCCAAGGGUAUGGCUGUUCGCCAUUUAAAGUGGUACGCGAGCUGGGUUUAGAACGUCGUGAGACAGUUCGGUCCCUAUCUGCCGUGGGCGCUGGAGAAUUGAGGGGGGCUGCUCCUAGUACGAGAGGACCGGAGUGGACGCAUCACUGGUGUUCGGGUUGUCAUGCCAAUGGCACUGCCCGGUAGCUAAAUGCGGAAGAGAUAAGUGCUGAAAGCAUCUAAGCACGAAACUUGCCCCGAGAUGAGUUCUCCCUGAGACUUUAAGUCUCCUGAAGGAACGUUAAAGACGAUGACGUUGAUAGGCCGGGUGUGUAAGCGCAGCGAUGCGUUGAGCUAACCGGUACUAAUGAACCGUGAGGCUUAACCUU